GUCACCGAGUUCGGUGUCGUAAAGUAGUUGCCAGUUUUGUUUGGGCUUAUACAGUGUUACGUUGCGUUGCUUGGAAUUUAAUAUUGUUUUCGCAACUUUAAUUACCUACAUCCACGCCAUGUCUUACGCGUUUAUUAUUGUUGUAUCCGUGGCGAUCACUUUGAAAUUAUUAUUUUUAUCUUUUUCCAUGUUUUUCACAUUUAAAGGGAAACGACCUUCAGAAACAAUGCCCGAUCAGGAGACUACGAGAACUAAGUCUAUGGCGAUAUCUUGGAGGCAAAUACCACGGAUGUUGUUACCCAAAUCAUUAUACUGCAAUGAUGUCAAUAGUAGUAAUACAUAUACUAAUAAAUUAUGAUUAACAUAAACCUAUUCUGCUGUAUCAGUAGGAAUAUCAAAAACUAAUAUUAUAAAGAAGACAUGACGUGGCCAAGCUACCAGCAACAAUUCAAGAUACAUUUUUUUUUGUUUUCCUACAUGGUUAUUGAAGAAAUUUAUCGCAACAAUAUAUAUUUUAUUUUUUAAUUAAAUAUGAUAAUAAAGACACUAAUAACAUUAGGCAAAUAUAUGGUUUAUUGUCAGCUGUGAAUUU
Molecule: long non-coding RNA, 592 nt
Organism: Achroia grisella
Lineage: Eukaryota; Metazoa; Arthropoda; Insecta; Lepidoptera; Pyralidae
Exons: 3
Source: RefSeq, a predicted model, not a curated record